RNAcentral lists this ribosomal RNA (2900 nucleotides) under Klebsiella pneumoniae. Its description in RNAcentral is "23S ribosomal RNA". It matches the Rfam family "Bacterial large subunit ribosomal RNA". The record is from RNAcentral. Lineage: Bacteria; Pseudomonadati; Pseudomonadota; Gammaproteobacteria; Enterobacterales; Enterobacteriaceae.
UUAAGCGACUAAGCGUACACGGUGGAUGCCCUGGCAGUCAGAGGCGAUGAAGGACGUGCUAAUCUGCGAAAAGCGUCGGUAAGGUGAUAUGAACCGUUAUAACCGGCGAUGUCCGAAUGGGGAAACCCAGUGCAAUUCGUUGCACUAUCGUUAACUGAAUACAUAGGUUAACGAGGCGAACCGGGGGAACUGAAACAUCUAAGUACCCCGAGGAAAAGAAAUCAACCGAGAUUCCCCCAGUAGCGGCGAGCGAACGGGGAGCAGCCCAGAGUCUGAAUCAGCUUGUGUGUUAGUGGAACGGUCUGGAAAGUCCGACGGUACAGGGUGAUAGUCCCGUACACCAAAAUGCACAGGCUGUGAACUCGAAGAGUAGGGCGGGACACGUGGUAUCCUGUCUGAAUAUGGGGGGACCAUCCUCCAAGGCUAAAUACUCCUGACUGACCGAUAGUGAACCAGUACCGUGAGGGAAAGGCGAAAAGAACCCCGGCGAGGGGAGUGAAAAAGAACCUGAAACCGUGUACGUACAAGCAGUGGGAGCACCUUCGGGUGUGACUGCGUACCUUUUGUAUAAUGGGUCAGCGACUUAUAUUCUGUAGCAAGGUUAACCGUAUAGGGGAGCCGCAGGGAAACCGAGUCUUAACUGGGCGUUAAGUUGCAGGGUAUAGACCCGAAACCCGGUGAUCUAGCCAUGGGCAGGUUGAAGGUUGGGUAACACUAACUGGAGGACCGAACCGACUAAUGUUGAAAAAUUAGCGGAUGACUUGUGGCUGGGGGUGAAAGGCCAAUCAAACCGGGAGAUAGCUGGUUCUCCCCGAAAGCUAUUUAGGUAGCGCCUCGUGAAUUCAUCUUCGGGGGUAGAGCACUGUUUCGGCUAGGGGGUCAUCCCGACUUACCAACCCGAUGCAAACUACGAAUACCGAAGAAUGUUAUCACGGGAGACACACGGCGGGUGCUAACGUCCGUCGUGAAGAGGGAAACAACCCAGACCGCCAGCUAAGGUCCCAAAGUCAUGGUUAAGUGGGAAACGAUGUGGGAAGGCACAGACAGCCAGGAUGUUGGCUUAGAAGCAGCCAUCAUUUAAAGAAAGCGUAAUAGCUCACUGGUCGAGUCGGCCUGCGCGGAAGAUGUAACGGGGCUAAACCAUGCACCGAAGCUGCGGCAGCGACACUAUGUGUUGUUGGGUAGGGGAGCGUUCUGUAAGCCUGCGAAGGUGUGCUGUGAGGCAUGCUGGAGGUAUCAGAAGUGCGAAUGCUGACAUAAGUAACGAUAAAGCGGGUGAAAAGCCCGCUCGCCGGAAGACCAAGGGUUCCUGUCCAACGUUAAUCGGGGCAGGGUGAGUCGACCCCUAAGGCGAGGCCGAAAGGCGUAGUCGAUGGGAAACAGGUUAAUAUUCCUGUACUUGGUGUUACUGCGAAGGGGGGACGGAGAAGGCUAUGUUAGCCGGGCGACGGUUGUCCCGGUUUAAGCAUGUAGGCUGGUUAUCCAGGCAAAUCCGGAUAAUCAAGGCUGAGGUGUGAUGACGAGGCACUACGGUGCUGAAGUAAUAAAUGCCCUGCUUCCAGGAAAAGCCUCUAAGCAUCAGGUAACAUCAAAUCGUACCCCAAACCGACACAGGUGGUCAGGUAGAGAAUACCAAGGCGCUUGAGAGAACUCGGGUGAAGGAACUAGGCAAAAUGGUGCCGUAACUUCGGGAGAAGGCACGCUGGUGUGUAGGUGAAGCCCCUGCGGGUGGAGCUGAGACCAGUCGAAGAUACCAGCUGGCUGCAACUGUUUAUUAAAAACACAGCACUGUGCAAACACGAAAGUGGACGUAUACGGUGUGACGCCUGCCCGGUGCCGGAAGGUUAAUUGAUGGGGUUAUCCGUAAGGAGAAGCUCUUGAUCGAAGCCCCGGUAAACGGCGGCCGUAACUAUAACGGUCCUAAGGUAGCGAAAUUCCUUGUCGGGUAAGUUCCGACCUGCACGAAUGGCGUAAUGAUGGCCAGGCUGUCUCCACCCGAGACUCAGUGAAAUUGAACUCGCUGUGAAGAUGCAGUGUACCCGCGGCAAGACGGAAAGACCCCGUGAACCUUUACUAUAGCUUGACACUGAACAUUGAGCCUUGAUGUGUAGGAUAGGUGGGAGGCUUUGAAGCGUGGACGCCAGUCUGCGUGGAGCCAACCUUGAAAUACCACCCUUUAAUGUUUGAUGUUCUAACGUUGGCCCCUGACCGGGGUUGCGGACAGUGUCUGGUGGGUAGUUUGACUGGGGCGGUCUCCUCCCAAAGCGUAACGGAGGAGCACGAAGGUUAGCUAAUCCUGGUCGGACAUCAGGAGGUUAGUGCAAUGGCAUAAGCUAGCUUGACUGCGAGCGUGACGGCGCGAGCAGGUGCGAAAGCAGGUCAUAGUGAUCCGGUGGUUCUGAAUGGAAGGGCCAUCGCUCAACGGAUAAAAGGUACUCCGGGGAUAACAGGCUGAUACCGCCCAAGAGUUCAUAUCGACGGCGGUGUUUGGCACCUCGAUGUCGGCUCAUCACAUCCUGGGGCUGAAGUAGGUCCCAAGGGUAUGGCUGUUCGCCAUUUAAAGUGGUACGCGAGCUGGGUUUAGAACGUCGUGAGACAGUUCGGUCCCUAUCUGCCGUGGGCGCUGGAGAAUUGAGGGGGGCUGCUCCUAGUACGAGAGGACCGGAGUGGACGCAUCACUGGUGUUCGGGUUGUCAUGCCAAUGGCACUGCCCGGUAGCUAAAUGCGGAAGAGAUAAGUGCUGAAAGCAUCUAAGCACGAAACUUGCCCCGAGAUGAGUUCUCCCUGAGACUUUAAGUCUCCUGAAGGAACGUUGAAGACGACGACGUUGAUAGGCCGGGUGUGUAAGCGCAGCGAUGCGUUGAGCUAACCGGUACUAAUGAACCGUGAGGCUUAACCUU